Non-coding RNA from Rattus norvegicus (Norway rat), 16797 nucleotides. The record is from RefSeq and is a predicted model, not a curated record. Lineage: Eukaryota; Metazoa; Chordata; Mammalia; Rodentia; Muridae.
AAAGGGAGAGAGCACAAAGGCCUAAAAGCCACAGACGCUUGGGGCUCUCAUGCGCGGCUGCCCUUGAACUCUCAGUAGAACUAAGAGGACACAGAGGGCCGCAUCCUGCUAGCCAGAUGAGGGGUCCUGGGCUGAGAGAAGACAAAAGCUGGUGGAGGUAAGUGCCUUCUUCCAGGGCUGCUAGCCUACUGUGGGAGUGAGGCUGUUCUUCAUGGCCACUCGGGGUAGUGAGAGUGAGCUGCUGACUCGGGUCUUUAAAAGCCUCCACUCAGCUCCUGAACAACAUUGGGUAUAAGAUGUUCAAUAUUCGAACUUGUCUGCCAUGAUUAUUCACUCUGUUCAGAAAGCCUGAGCAAAACUGGACACUUUCUGGAAGCCUCUUUAUACUCCCUAGACAGAGAGGGGAAGGGUAGAGAGACAUAGAAAACUCAGAGGCAGGCUUGUAUUUCUAUCCUUGGAGUGGCCAUGGUAAGCCAUUUCCCAUUUUAAAAUGACCUGGUUAUCAAUAAUACUAGGCCUAACUGUUUAUUUAAAAUGGAGGCUUGUUUGAUUGGGACUCCUUCUCUUUGCGUAGGCUUCACCAUGCCUUAUUCUUAUACUUCAAAGAUGCCUGCAUCCCAAUUGCUCCUCCUGUGUGUGUGUGUGUGUGUGUGUGUGUGUGUGUGUGUGUGUGUCCAACUUGCACUGUCCCCUCAGUGAUGCUGGCCACCUGCACAGAGAUGAAACUGGUCCCUAGGGUUCCCAGGCCUUGGCAGCUCUUGAUUAAGAGUCCAUCAAGCUUUUAAUGCUGAGAACCUGGCUGAGGAUUCUCUCUCUACCUCUGGUUGGUGAUUAAAUGCUGAUUUGAUUGAUGUACAGAUAAGGGAACUUUCCAGAUUUCCCCCUUCUAAAUGGGUUUCCUUGAAAAGAAAAGCAACUUUGUUCCCUGGUGGUAACAAGAACAUUCUAUUUUAAGAGUUCCGUGUGCUUUCAAAGAUGACAAGACUUGGGAAAUACGAACUGACUUUCUUUGUCUAGACUGUACUCGCCUAAAACAGUCAAACGGAUGCAUUUAACACAAGGACUUCACAUGACAGUAACUGUGGGUUUGUGAUUAAAAAAAAAAAAAGCAUCUCUACUUUUUGCUUUUUAAGAAAUCCUUUUGUGUUAUGGAUGGGUUAUUUAUUUAUUUAAUUAAUUUUUUUUGGCAGCAAAAUGACUCCACGUAGUUCCCAAAGCACUCCUUCUUGGUCCUCUGAAGCUGUCUGCAGGGUGUUCUUCACUCCUUUGAACAAGCUGAGAAUACAGAGUCAUGAUCUCCUGGUACCUGUAAAUCCACUGUAUCUUCCUGGGCGCCGUGGCGCACGCUGAGGCAUCUGAGGCCGGUUAGGGUUUGCCAAGGCCUCCCCCUUAGAGACCACUCAUUCCCACUUACAAACAGAGAGGCCUGUCAUUAACAAGGAGCAAACCGAGUUUGACUUGUUUUCAUGCCCAUGGGGGGCGGGUCAAUGGGAAAACUCCAUUUGGAAUUGUCCACAGUCCCUAGAAAUGUCUAGAAAUCCCAUCCUCUUGGGGAAGGCGGGGAAGGACACAGACAUUUAGUGUUAAUAGGCAGACACUAAGGAACCCUACCUCCUCAGCCUCCCUUAGGGUGGUCUCAGGAAAUAAGGAAAUAUUUCGGUCUGCUAAAUAGCAGGAGGUUUGUGGGCCUGGGUGCAGGCAUGAUCCCCAUCCUGGAAGGCCUUUCUGAGCUGUGGAAACCCUGCUGGCCUUUGAGGGAGGGGGUGUUCAUAGAAAGUACCAUUUGUUACCAUUUCCCAACCAACUAAUGCACUUCCUAUUUGGUAUGAGUACUAGUGAAGUUCCCAGUCUUCAGUCUGAAAAUUCUAAAGCCCUUUAAAGUCUGAAGAACGAAAACAGACCGUGUGAGUCACCCCCGAGAGUGAGCUACUUUGGCUUUCCUUCUUAGGGAUACAUUAAUUAGAAAACAACAUUUGGAAGAACAGGAGAAUAUGCUGGCUCUCAUAGUGCCUGCAGAGGGGUCGACAGAAUGUGAUCACUUGGUCAAGGAGAGCAUAGAAGAAGAAAAAAAAACAAACGAACAAACGUUUCAGCAGUGUCUAAAAAUUGUUCACAGGGCCCUAAUAAAUAAGAAUUUAUUUCUUGGUGUAAUAUCAUAAAGUUGUUAUGCUACAUAAAAAGAUAUUUCAGAAAUAAUUUGCUAGAUAAAAAAAAAAAAAAAGUUGACCUGAAGUCUCUCUCUGUCAGCAAAACAGUUUCACAGUGGCAAAUACAUGUGUUCGAGUCAGAUUGGUCUUAGCUUCCAAAUUUAAGGAAAAUGUUGGCAAGAAGGGUUUAUUAAAUUAGGUCACCCGGAAGGGGAAAGGGGGACUUUGAAGUUUUUAAAUUCUCAUUAUUUUUUCUCAUUUCAAAAGCACUGUGGAAAAAAAUUGUGAAAAUUAAGAAAUUCAGAGACACAAAGGUAGAAAUCAAACAGCAAUUCUCUUUCUACCUGGUGGAGAGAGAGCUAUUGCACCACGAGUGCUGUACAAUUCUCACAGAAAAGGGUCCGAGUCCUAUGCACUGUUUUGAAAACCACUCCUUUGUUCGAAAUGAAAUCUUAAUUUGUUUCCAAGUUAACAACAACUAGCUUUCUGCAAUGUCGGCGACUGCAAAGCGAGGACCGUGGACCAGGUGAGCAGAUGGGCAUUUUCCUAAUGCUGGGCAUUUAAAGCCACGUGCAAUUCUUUAUUUUAAAUAAUGUUUCUGUGAAUUAGCUUGUCUUUACUUAAUUAGUUACUUAGUGAGUUAUUUAGUUAUUUUACUUUUCCUUUGAGAUGUAUGCCAGAUUCAUGACCAGCCACAGAGGGGAGAGGUUAGAGGAAGUUUGAGUGUGAUGUAUUGGUUCCCUUCUCUUCCUUCUCCUUUCUGUCUUUUGCAGAUCAAGCACUGAGAGGUCCUCAGCCCCUACAGCACUAAUGAAUGCCUCACAUCUCCUGGUUGACCUUACAGCAUGUGGGAAGGGAAUUCUAAAGCCCCACUGAGAUGGUCAGGGAAUCCCUGGGGGUAAAAAAGAGGUGGGAUUUCUGUUCUAGGUCCUUCAGGCAAAGAGGAAUGAGCAUAGCCUGCCUCUUGGAAGGAGCGGUGGGGAAAGACAAGCCAUCUCUCAAACAUACGCACGUAAGCACGCACGCACGCAUGCAUUCCCCCAUCACUGCAAGGUCAGCGCAAAGGGUGGGACUGGGAGUCAACAGGCGCUUCCUGGUUUCAUUGAUGAAUGAUUGUCUAAUACUCAGCUGAGUGACACUCUUUUCCUGCAGUCUGCCAGGGCCACAGUUUUUAUUUUAUUAUUCUUCAUUCUUAGUAGACAAUGAUCCUAUCAGCACCAUAGAAAAGGAAAGGGGAGAGGAGGAGUCAAGGUAGGAGGGAUGGGAGGUCACAGAGUGCUGUUCCUGCAGCGUCUGUCUUGAAGGGGUGAUUUCACGGUCUGUACGGGAAUGCAGGAGAGAAAUGCUGGAGGAUUCGUUUACACUUGUUAGAGACAGCCAGUUUUACAGCUAAAGCAAAUCUUUAGCCAAAUGUUAACAACUCAGCUAUUCUGGGGAUGGGGGUAAGGCAGGAAACUGGCACCCAAUCUUCCCUUUUGCCAGCAUUUGGGGAAAAUAAAGGAUUAGGUAAAACUGUUCUCGUUCCUCUCAUUCUCCACUGUGAGCAGAGGUUCGAAGAACCGUUGAAACUGGGAACAAGUAAACCCAGAAGGUGUUUGUUCACACUGCCGUGUUUCCACUACAGGUGAACCUUCCUGCUAGAAAAGACACUGUUUUCAUCUCAUUCUUUCUUAGUUGGAGCCCUCAUCUGCUGCCUGCCGUUCUACUAAAGAAUGGCUGUGGUGGAUAUGAUUUGAAGUUUGAGCAUGGUAGGGUGUCUCUGUGUCCAAAGGUUCCACGGAGAGGAGGUUACAGCCUAGCGCACAUAAAUACUAAUCACAAGCUGGGAGUGGGGGGUGUAUGUACCCAAGAGGCAGGCGUAGGUGGAUCUCUGUGAGUUUGAGGCCAGUUGGGUCAAUAUAGUGAGUUCAAGGCCAGCCAGGGCUACGCGCUAAGAGACCACUGUCUCAGAGAAAAGAAAAAAGUAGAAAAAUCAUAAUUUUCUUGAGCCAAAGAAGUGAUCACAUUUGUUGGCGAUGGAUUGGAAACCAUGACGAGAUGAGAGAUGUUGGGAUCUAUUUAUUACCCAGUGGAAUUAUUUCUGAGUAUGAUGUGGUUUGUGCCAAGUGUAUGUCUCCUCCCAGAAUUCAAGCCUUUUAGGAAACAGAUGUAAGCAACUUUCCAUUCAUGUCCGUAAGAGUUUGUUCCUCAAGGUAAAAGGCCUUUGUGAACCCUCCUUGUUAUGCAAGAUCCGGGGCCUCUUUCCUAGCUCCUAUUUCAGCAUUUGGAGCCACGGAGGAGUCUGUGACAAAGAAGGAGGGUGAAGGGGAGGUUAGCACCCUUGUGCCUACAGACUCUCCUUAGCAGAGCUCUGGAGUGUGACAAUGGUGUUUGUGUCCAAAACAUCAAACGCCAUCAUCACACUAAACAGCUACUGCUAGGCUAUCCGUCUACUCCGUGCGCGACUUGACGUCUGCCCUCUCAGAGCAAGAAGUUUUGUCUUAUGUACUCUCCGUCAUAGGUAAUUUAUGAAUAAAACCUGGUCCUCUCGUGCUCAGAACUGUACAUCUGCCUACCCCUCAUAUGCUGUUGUGAAAUGAAUGGUGCUAUAGAGGAAAAGACCAGGAAACCCAGCCUUUCCUGUGGGACCCUCCCAGCAUUGAUGACUUCUGACACCCGAUUUUUUUCCCCAGCAAUAGGCCCACGGUCAAUUUUGCUCUGGACGCUAGCUAGGCAAUUCUUUAUUUCUAUUCGCUGUUGACACUGCUUAUGUGCAGGUAGCCCUGGAUCCAGCAGAUGGAUGGCACAGUCUCAAGACCCCGCUUCAGACGGCUCUCGAAUGUCCUAAGUUGCUUGCCGUGUGCUUCUGACUCACCAGGUAUACGGAGGUUUCCACAACUGCGUACUCGGGUCCAAUUCGCUGUUUUGAGAAAACCUGUUGGUCAGCUUAUUCCAAAGGAUAAUUUAAAGGCAGAGAGGGGAUAUGUGCUCCAAGAAGUGCAUGUGUUUGGCUACCUAGAAGCUCUACGAAACUGUCCUUCAUAGAUUUUUACAGGUCUUCCUUUGCAUAGGCUUGAUUCGGUAGACAGGAAGAAUGUGUUGGGACCCCACAAGCCUCAUCUCCAGCGAGGAGAUGAUGUACAAAGUGAAUAAUGAACCUUGAGUCAGCACCAUCUUUGCAGAUACUGGGUCAAAAAUGUCCAGAGUCUGUCCUUGUGGUUUAAUGUUCUUAUAUAUUUAAGCAUAGCAAAACUUUGGGGGAAAGGAAACCAUAGGACAGUUAAUCACCACAAAGCUUUACGAAGAGCUACAUAGAAUCCCCCUAGCAAAGUAACAAAGCACCUGUGACCUUUACAAUGCGUUCUAUUGGCUGAUAAAAAGAGCUCAGAUCUCCAGCCUAAAGAGGAAGGCUUGGCAAUAAGUGUAAGAAUAGACUCUGGGUGGAGGACACAAAGGUCUAGGCACUGAGGGGCAAAGCUCAGCAUCUGGGCCUAAACAAUGCUCAGGAUAUUGGGGGACUCCUAGUAGAAUCGCAAAGGAUCACUAGGCUGUUUGACCAUUUUCAGUCUGGCCUUCCAGGUGACCAGACAUUUUUCAUUUCCUUCUGAAUGAAAUGAAUGUUCUGUUUUUUUCCUGGGGGAGGCCUGCAGGAUUGACCCCGUUUCUCCAAUGCUUCCUCUAAGCUGUGCUUCUUACAGUAAUGUAGUGGGGCGAAAGGGACAGGCAAGGUCUAAUGGUUAGGCAGCAUGUAAACAAUGUUGUCUACUCAGAUGUUUCUUUGUGGUCUUAAGGGAGGGACCCCCUGAAAUGAGAAGAAAUGGUUAUCAGACAAGGUAGGUUGGAAUUAUGAGCCAGGAACCAUGGAUAAAAAUAUAUGUGCAUCUACAUAUAUACAUACACACAUACACACAAAAUUAAAUCAUAAUGGUGGUAAAUUUCCCUAUCUUCCCUAAGUCAUUAAAAUAAAAAAUAAAAUAGUCUCCCAGAGUACUCAGCAACAAGGCUAGUCACCAUUCCAUUCAUUCCAUUGAGUUGAUGUUAGGAAAAUGUAGGCACAAAAAAAAAAAAAAAAAAAAAAAAAGCUAAAACUAGGUGUCUUUGUUAGAUUUCUGUUGCUGUGAUAAACACCGUGACCAAAAGCAACAUAGGGAGGAAAGGAUCUAUUUGGUUUAUGUGUGCUGACUGCAGACCAUUGUCGAGGGAAACGGUGUAGGAACUCAAGCAGGGCAGGCCUCUGAAGCCAGAACUGGGACAACGUCCAUGGAACAGUGCUGCUCCUGGCUUGCCCCUCCUGGCUUGCUCCAGCUUGCUUUCUGAUACACUCCAGGACCACCUGCCCAGGGCUGAUGCCCUACUCAGUGCUCUCUGGGCCCUUCACAUCAAUCAUCAAUUAAGAAAACGACCCACAGGCUUGCCUGCAGGCCACUCUGAUCAAGGUGUUUUUCUCAGUUGAGGUUCUUUCUUCUCAGAUGACUAUAGCUUGUGUCGAGUUUACAACGAAACAAACAUAUGGGGUUAAGUCUACUCUCUGAAAACCACAGACUAAUGGGCAAUAAAUGAAGACAUGGAGGUCCUCUUCUUUCUAUUAUUAAAAAAGAAACCUGUAUGUGACUUAAUUGACCUUUCAGACAUUCUAGGACACGUCUGCUCUGUACUGUUUUAACCAAUUAUCAGGUUGAUUACUGGAUUUGGAUGCUAGAUCUGUCUUACGUUUCACAAAUUAGCACCAGAAACCCACAUGUGAACUGUGUGUAAGUUGCCAUAGCAAAUCAGUUAUUUGAAGCUUUUCAGGUUCUGGGAUAGUGGUACGGAUGGGUGGUCUGGUUUCAAAUAUAUUCUCUGAGAGGCAUCUUUAGUAAAAACAAAAUCUGUGACUUGCCUGAAUGAACUAGUAUAUGCUUAGUCAAGUUGACAGGGUCAGAUCAACCGUCAGAAACAAAUGCAUUCAUCCGUCAGCCAGCACUUAUCAAAUACAUACAGAGUAGCUUCCCUGUGCCCUGCACAGCCCUAGGCCUUGGGGGGUACUUUUUUUUUUGGUUCUUUUUUUUCGGAGCUGGGGACCGAACCCAGGGCCUUGCGCUGCCUAGGUAAGCGCUCUACCACUGAGCUAAAUCCCCAGCCCCUGGGGGGGGGGGUACUUUUAAAUAAAAAAAUGUCUGACGAUAUUUCUAGGAAUGAGCAAUCCCUGUGUGCAGUCUAUUAGUGUACAGUCCUCAUGGCCCCAGUCACACUUAAUAAGGAGCCUAGUGAGAAAACUGCCAAUGGAUUCUAAGUUCCUCGUUAGAGAGCACCCCGGAAGUACAUCCCACACAUCCAGGAUGCACUGCAAAGGCUUUAAGACCAUGAGUAGCUUUGUAUAAAGGAAAAAAAAAAAAAACAACUCACGAAGUAGAUUUCUACCUUCUCAAUGUGUUUCCCCCAACAGUUUCUUUUUUUCCUGGCAAGUCAACUGUCAAGAGGAGAUCAAACACCCCUCCCCCAAAAGAAUGAAUAUCUUGGCAAUCUUUCUUGUGUGUCUUUUUAUGGAGAUAGCAUGACCCGAGCAAGUAGUGACCUUUGCCAUCAUAGGAAUCACUCCCCAGGCACAUGGUUUUAUUGGACCUUUGCAACACAGGGCAAAGGUGGCCCAGGUUUGGUCCCCUCCCAUAGAUGGCAGGCUGAGAAUGGUGCUUCUGGUGUCAUCUGCCCAUUCAACCACAAUACAUUAUGGAUCUUAUAAAUCGAGAGUCCUGCUCUUUAGCCGUCCUCAAUAUGGUUCCUCCACAAAAGCCUGGGUUUCGUGGCUGAGUCCUUGUUGAAACUGAGUUAAUUAGCAUCCUCAGCUCUCCUCGGGUCUGUCUCUGGUAAACACUGAAGGGAAAGCCCGACAGAGGAUGGGUGUGCAACAAUCCCCAUGAAGGUUCACAGUACAGAGGAAGUCAAAUAUUCCAGAACACUCUUGUUGAAGAAAACGAAAGAAAAGGAACAUUUAUGAGGUAGUUAAAGUGCCCAGACCUGGAGCAGCCAUCUUAGAGACCUCCUCACUGAAGUAAGAUGCAGAGUCUUCUGGCUCCAAAUUAUUCUCAGAUUUGAGGGCGAUGUCUGUUCUGUUCCAUCAUGCUGAGGCCCUAAUUAGCUGGAAUUAACCCAGGAACAUAAAGAAGGGCUUUCUGUGUUCUCUUCUACUACUGUGGCUCAUUAAAUGGCGUAUUAUGAUUACUGCCUACAUCAUUCCUCAUUCAAAAUAAAAGACCUGUUCUUUCCGUAGGUUUCCAAGGGGCACAUACAGAAGGCAGAAACAUUCAUGUGUCUACUUUGUGUCUCUGUGUGUGUGCCCAUGUGUGUGCAUGUGUGCAUGUUCCCUGGUUGCUUUCCACCUUGUUUUUAUGAUACAGGGUCUCUCACUGAACCUCAAACCUAGAAUUUAGCUAGCCUGGAUGGCCAGCAAGUUCCAUAAUCCAACAUGGGAUUGUACUGUGUUCACUGUUCUAAAUGUGUGUCCUGGGGGGUCAAACUCAGGUCCUCAUGCUUGUGAAGCAAGUUCUAGACUGACUGAGCCAUCUCCCCAGCCCUGACACCUCCCACUUUAAAGACACUGUUUAUACAGUCCUGCUGCCUCAGAUCUCUGGUGAUAGCAUACUUCCCCAGGAUCCACUUUCACCUCCUCCCCUAUCCCAAGAAAGCUAUGACCAGCAGUUUCCAGGCAACCAUUCCUAGGGAUGCAUACUGGCUGACUCCAAGUGCUGUUUGCAAGAUGAAAGGGUCCACUUAGACAUGUGUUACUUAAAAUCACUCUCAACCUGGGGAGACAACGGAGGAUUCAAACAGCCACACCAACCAGCUUUCUUCUCAGCAAACAGGCUACUUGAAUCUUUGCGGGUCGCACUAGCGAGGUCUUUCUUUAGUCCGUCUUUCCUUCUUUGCACUGUGUGUUCAGUAGACAUGUCAAUCACCACUCAGCGUCUGUCCUGCUUUCAUCUGGCUCCAAGGGAGCCACCAUUCGACAGUGGCUCCUGCAGACGCUCCUCUGGACCUUUUAAAAACAUGUAAAACUUACAUUUGCAUCCUUCUCAGAGGAGAUAAAGGAAGGCUAGAAUUAGAAACCAGUUCACUCUUUGUUCUGAUGGGGAACUUGAAACCGAGGAUUCUAGCAUUUAUAGCAGCUUUAAAAACAUGCCCGCUCCUUAGCUUCAUCAGCAUGGUUUCUGUAGUUACUAUGCAGUAGGUAUUGUACUGGACUCUGGGGCUAUAAAGAACAAGACUGAGUCCUUUCUCCAGCCUUUCCCAUUUAGUAAUUGGAUGGACGCCUAAACACAUCCAUUCCUCACUGUGGUUGGUGCCAACCCAGAGGCACAGACAGGGAGCCAAGGGCUGUGAAUUAGAUCCUUUAUUUCUCCCCAGAGAAAGAGAUCUCAAGUCUUUGAUGUCAUGAUCUGACUUUGUUGGUGUUGGGAGAGCUUCCUCCUUGUUCACUUUAAAGAUUCAGAAGCUAACAGGCCAUUGUUCGGGGCUCUGAUGUCACAUCAUCUGACCCUGCUGCUUUUACUCUGCGAUUUGCCAGCUUAAUGAACUGCUGAGGAUCUGCUCAGGGGUUGGAAGACGAGGCUGUAUGUUUUUCAGUGACACGAGAAGAAUUUUAAUUUCCCAGAAGAGCUUGGCAGGAUGUGAGCUGCCUGGGUUGACGAGGCACUUACGGAAUCAGGUCACUAGGUUUCUCUCCUUCCUGACUGCCUCUUUCCAGCCACCAAAAGCCUACAGCUAAGUCCCUAGAUGAACACCUCACUACCUGCCCUGCAGACGGCCAUUAGAGCAAACCCACAGUAGACACCACCAGUAGACAGGUGGGGACAUCUGCUUUCUUCUCUUCGGUAUUGAAUUUCCUUCUCUGCUUUGUGCUUAAAAAGGAAAGGAGCCAGACACAGGAGCUCACAGAGCUGGCCGCUGGUGACUCAAUUUAACAGAGAAAGCAGAACUGCUAUGUGCACUCUGAAGGAAGCUUAUUGUGGCAUAAAUUUAAUGCGUCCUUGGGAUGCUACAGAGGGCGUACCGAUGAGCAGGCAAAAUCUGAUAUUGACCCCCCUUACUCAUUGACUCGACUGUCACUCAACUACGUGAUCCUACUUGCUACCUGACAGCACUGCAAUUGCUGGCCACUGAUCAUCUGAAGAGGAGACGAUCUUUUAGGGUCUGCUUGUGGUCCUCUAGUGAGGUCACAGACAGGGCAGUAGGACCUUGGAAGUGAGUGUGGAAGUGAGUGUGACGCCCCUGGACUUAAGGAGGGGGAUAGCAUCUGUAGCAAGUGAGACUAAGGCAAGAGUAAGAGUUGGGAUGCAGCUGUUGCUAGUGCUUGUCCAUGGUGCCCAAAGCCCGACCGACUCCCAGCACUGUGCAUAUGCCUGCAAGCCCAGUGUUUGGGCGUAGAGAUGGGAGGAUUUCAAACUCAAGGUCAUCUUUGACUUCAUAAGGGGUUCAAGGCCAUCUUGGAUUACAUGAGACGUAUGGGGGUAGGUAAGACAAGAGUAGGGCGUCCAGCCCUUCUGUUGCUCUCCAAGUCAUUCAGGGACCAUAGCCAGGGAAACCUCAGUUUUCACUUUGGUAGAAGUUAAAUUACCUUCAGGUUUCUAAAGCAUUCCCUAGGAUUCCUCCAAGAAAACCACUGAAGUAUAACUCUGGAAUUUAUGGGGAGCAUAGGAGGGGGUAGGAAAUUUCUCUCUUAAAAUGCAGCUGUACUCCCACAGAAAAGAGUUUAUUUAAUUUAAAAAAGGAAUUUGGUUCUAUUAUGCAAAUGACUUAGGACUGGGGUGUGUGUGUGUGUGUGUGUGUGUGUGUUUGUGUGUGUGUAGUGUGUGUGGUGGAGUAGUAGUAGUAGUAGUAGUACUAGUAGUAGUAGUAGUAGUACUAGUAGUAGUAGUAGUAGUAGUAGUAGUAGUAGUAGUAGUAGUAUGAGAAAGAGGUAUGAGUCUCAGGGUCAAGCCCAGUAUUAGAAAAGGGCUAUUCCCUCCACCCUUUCAUUCCAUCGCCCCACACCUCCUCCAGCCCUAGACCCCCAACCUCUCCCAGCAAUGGACAAAGCAAUACCUUGUUAAUGGUGUUGUUCUUCUGUCAGUCAGGGGCAGAGCAGAUGGCAUCCUAGUUUGGUGCCUGGCUUGGUGGCCACAGCUGUGUUAUGCCUGAGACUCAUAAAAAAAAAAUCAGAUAAAUCCAGGUGGCACAGCACAGUACAGGAGGAGGAAGACAGAGAACGGCAGACCACCAUGUCACCCACAGAUCCGCCCUCCAGCACACGGCAGCAGGCGGGCCAUUGACACCCGCUUGCCACCACACAGCAUGGAUGGAGGAUGUCACCCAGGGGACUGUCAGCUGCAUGACCAGCCUGCAUCUGGGGCCACCACAGUGUGUGAUAGUCAGAUGGGAGAGAAAGGGAGGUGAAGCAGCUUGAACAUUAUGGAGAGAGACUCACGGCUAUGGUCUCCAUGUCUAUGGCCCAUAUUAUGAUUAUACAACAUGGGGCUGUCCCUGGUUGUUGAAGCUGUAUGGGACCAUGUGGACAUCCAAGGGCCCCUCACUGUAUACAGUUCUCUGGAGAGCUGUCCUAUCUCUCACCAGCUCGCUUAGGAGAGCAGCAGCACUUAGGAGAGAAGCCCUGCACCUUGCUAUCUGCUACCCCUUUCCCCACUCAUGCCCCUUGCUAUCUGAUAGUCGGGAAAAUUGACCCUGGGGUCAUGAGAGCUGACCCUACCCCUCCCUGCGCUGGCUGCAGCACUUGGGAGAACAGGCCCUGCACCUUACCUGGAGCUGGCCCUGAUGGCAAAGGCAAAGCCCUGAGGGUGGGAGAGUGGGAGAGCUGGCCCAGCCUCCUGCCAGUGGUGGUAUUGGGUAGCUUAGACAGAGCAGUGCUGGAGAGCUUGCCCUGGUGGUGUGGAUAAGGGAGAGCCAACUGACUUACCAGCACAGCUACCACCCAGACCCAGAUCCAGGGCUCUGAAUUGGCUCACCCCCAAAUCUAUGUUAUCUGUGAAUGGCUGGGAUGUGUGAAAGGGGCUGUGUUGCUCUUCCAAAGCUGCAGGAUCUCCAUGACACAGGACAGCAACAGGGUAACUCCAUGGGAGGAGUCCCAACGAGGAUCCAAUACUGAUGGUGUCUCAGAAGCCAGAGAUGUUGAACCAGGCCAAUGACUCAUUGUAAUGAACAUUUGGAAGGGAAGAUGUGUGGACAGAGGGACAUACUGUGACACACUGACACACUACAGCUUCCACAACAAGAUAUUUUCUAUGUUUUGCUUGUUGUUGUUGUUGGUGGUGGUAGUUAUAGUAAUGGCAGUGGUGGUGGUGGUGGUGGUGGUGGUGUGUGUGUGUGUGUGUGUGUGUGUAGGAGGAGGUUGCAAGGGCAAAGGGUAGAUAUGAGGGGAUGGGGAAAUGAGAGGAACUGGGUGCAUGAUGUGAAAUUUACAAAGAACCAAUAAAAGUAAAUAAAAGAAAAGAUGAAGAAAGAAAGAAGUAAGCAAGCAAGCAAGCAAGAAAGAAAGAAAGAAAGAAAGAGGGAAAGAAAGAAAGAGAAGAGUUAUGCAUGUAGCUUAAAAUAAACAGGAUCCCAUGCUGCAAACCUGUUCCCUAUACUUGCCUGCCCUAUGGUAGCACACAGAGACUUUUGAUUUCACAAGCCAGGUAUGUAGCUGAGUGGCCAAGCGCUUGCUUAGCAUAUCUGACACCCUGAGUUUGAUUUCUCAGCAUGACAACAAAAAGAAUUUUAAUUUCUCUAUGGAGCUGGGUAAAAUGCCUUCAAAGUUUGAUCUCACUGGUGCCUUUUCUUCCUAUCUUGUUUUAAAGCAGAAAAAGAAAACGUUCUGAACCGGGCUGAGGAGCUUUGGCCCACGAAAAUUUGAGCUUGGGGUGGCACUUAGGAUGCUGGCCCCUAGUGGCAGAGUGGGUCCCUGCUCGUCAUAGCCGCUGUGGCUGGAUGGGAUGUCAGGCUUGCUAAGGAAGAGAUUGCCUUUGAGCCUCCCUUGGCAGCAGAAUCGUCCUAAUUUUGAUAAAGUACAUUUUCAAAAGCCUGGGAGAGAGAUGGAAAAGAAUGCGGGAGAUUGUCCCAUGGAGUGCCUGUUGACCCAUUAAAUACGGCAGACAGAACUAAUCUUGUUCUACCUGCACAACAAAGCUCUGCGUUUCCUUUUUCUGGCACAGCGGGGCCAGGCAAGAGCUACUGAAAUACCUUCCCGUUUCUUAGGGCUGCCUGUCUCUGCCAUCGCUCAUCUUGCCCUGCGUUUCUGCUUGGCCUCGCACUGAGCUGGAUACAAAAGUGGGUUCCUUCCUGCUUACUUGGAUGUGCCAGCUACUGGACUCCCGGCCUGGCGUCUAAUAGUUGCUGAGGAUUUUCCAGUGUUUCCUUUGCAGGAACUCGGUGCAUCUCAGACUGGGCCGUUUGCCAGAAAUUAGAAUGAAUGAUGCUCCUGGUAUUAUUUGGUACAGAAGGGGCAGCUUCGUGUCCCCCAAGAAUUCCUUCUAAAUGACCACCUAAAGGUACUGACCGUGUGCUGUGGAAUUUUGUUUGCAAGAAGAAAACUUCUUUCUUGGAGGCCCUCAAGGAGGGUGUUUUUAAAGCAAUAUUUCUCGGUCUACUAUUAUAUCCAAGGUAAUGGGCUUGGGCAAGUGUUUUGUAAGGGGUCUUGUGGCAAACUAGAACCCUUGGUGUUGUGCUUGAUUCCAAAAGUGGGAGCGGCAAAGCAAACAAAACCACCCUUGGGUGUCAGAUUUGGGAUGGGCAGGGAGAGGGCACAGGAGAGAAGUCAGGGAAGAAAGGAAAGAAAGGAAAGAAAGGAAAGAAAACUCAUGCACCGUAUCUAUUUCCCCUAGCUGCACCAGCACUGCCUGAGAGCUGGUUGAAGAUAAAAAUCAGCUAGCCCAGCAGCCCCAUGAGAUAAGAAGAGAAGGUAAAGCCAGAGGCAGAUGGCUUUAGGCAAGCCUGGAUACAGACCCAGGCUGGGAACCUCAGGGCUGUAAGUGGGUCCGCAGAGGCUCUCAUUAGUGUUUAAUGAAGGGAUCAGUCAAUUAGUCUGCUCUGCCUCAGAGUAUACUACAGUGAGGGUGUCCUUAGAUGUCUGCAAAUUAGAAUCAUAGGGAGAGCUUCUAGAAAUCUCCAUGCCCUGACGAUGCCCCAGAUCACUCACCAGAGGCACACUGGGGACAUAGUGAAGUAUACUUGUUAUCUUGAUGAACAGCCAGGACCAAGCUUGGCCCUCUGCUUUGACCUGAUUGGAGAACUUUACUUAUAAAGUAAAGCAUUUUAAACAUAAGUACAUAAAAAAAACAAGGGAUUUAGAUAAAAUGGAGCAUUGAUGGUUCUCCUAUAAUAAAAGCCUAGAGACAGAGCUAGGGGCAUGAGGCAGAGAAGGCAAACAAGCGAUAGGGCAAACAAGACCACACUCUUACUUUUCUCCUUUGUCUCCAGUUGACCUGGCUCAUUCUAGUUCAUUCUGGCUGCUGUAACAACACAACAUGAACUAGGUGGCUUUAUUGAUCAUAGACAUUUAUUUUUUUUCACAGGCUUGCUGACUGGUCUAAGAUCAGGCAAGGCACCAGAGAGUUCGGAGUCUGGAGAGGGGUCUGGAGAGGGCCCACUUUUGGUUCAUAGAGAGGACCUUUUCAGUGUAGUUGUCUACCGUGUCAGAGAUAGGGUCUCUCCAGGGUUUCUUUUGUGAGGAAGGUAAUCCCAUGCUUUAAGGCCCUACCUUUUGGACACAAUGAUCUUCCCAAGUCUACUUCCUAACAAAACACCUUAAGACUUAGGAUCUUAACGUCAACCAUGCUGGAUUAGGGCCCACCCUAAUGACCCCAGAGGCCACUGAGGGACUUUGGGGGACACAAGCCUUCUUUGUAUGGUGCUAGACUCUGACUCCCUAGGACAUGCCUCUCUAGACCCAGUAUCUCUUCCUGGUUUCCCGUUGCCCUGUCUUGUUUUGCCCAGAGGUAUGUCACAUGGUAAAGAAGCCUCACGUGGCUAGGUGCCCUCUUUUCCAUGCCUUUCCCUUCCUGCUGUCUAAGUAAACUCUGUACCCUCCAAAGGUUCUCUAGGUCAACCAUGGUCAGGGCUAAGCCUUCAGUUCCUCUAGAAGUGAGCCCAUUUCCCUGACCAACAGUCAAGGCCGAGUCUUGAACCCUUCAGAAUUCUGUUCCUCCUUUCUCUGGGACACCGCCCUGUAAAAUUGGUUGUUGUUGCUUGAGAAUGUGUUGACUUUUGCUGCCUAAGGCUGGCUUUGAGAGUGUCCCCAGGUAGGGUGCCUGCCUUUGUUUUCCUGGCUAGUCCAUUACCUUCUUCGACGUUCUGCUCAAAAUGCACCUCUUUCAGAAAGAUGGGAGACCAAAGAGGGGCAGGAAAUUGGGUUACUAAGCAAAGCUUCCCUUCCCUGAAAGCAGCAGUGACGGUGAUGCCCCCAGCCCUGCCACCAUUCCGUGGACAUUUUUCAUGCCGUGGGACUUUCUUGGUGCUUCAGCCUCCGCCUCGGACCCUGCAGCCGUCGCCAUGUUGAUGCCCAAGAAGAACCGGAUCGCCAUCUAUGAACUCCUUUUUAAGGAAGGGGUGAUGGUUGCCAAAAAAGACGUCCACAUGCCCAAACACCCCGAGCUGGCAGACAAGAACGUGCCCAACCUUCACGUCACGAAGGCCACGCAGUCUCUCGAGUCUCGAGGCUAAGUGAAGGAGCAGUUUGCUUGGAGACAUUUCUACUGGUACCUCACGAAUGAGGGCAUCCAGUACCUCCGAGAUUACCUGCACCUACCUCCGGAGAUCGUGCCCGCCACCUUGCGCCGCAGCCAUCCAGAGACGGGCAGGCCUCGGCCCAAAGGUCCAGAGGGUGAGCGGCCUGCGAGAUUCACAAGAGGGGAGGCAGACAGAGACACCUACAGAAGGAGCGCUGUGCCCCUGGAGCUGACAAGAAAGCUGAGGCUGGCGGUGGCUCAGCAACGGAAUUCCAGUUUAGAGGGGGUUUCGGUCCGUGGACGUGGUCAGCCACCUCAGUGAGGUUGGAGAUUAUGUUGUGUUGAAUAAACUUUAAAGGAAAAAAAAAGAUUUGACUCUAAUGAUCCCAUGUGCAGAAUGAAGGAGAGCUGGGGGCUUUCAUUCUUUCCGAGGGACCUGGGAAAGGAGGCUGCUUCACCCCACCAGAGAGCUCCAGCAUAUAAGAGACAGGGAUAUUCAUGCAAAGAGUCAGCGUCUACAAAAGGGUCCUCCACUUGAGGUGGCUCCUGGGAUUAGGGUACAUUUUGGUAAACCAGGAUCAUGGAAACCUUGGAGGAAAGAGGCAAUUAAAAAAUAAAUAAAAUCAAUAGGCUGUCUCAUGUUGAUAAAGGAAUUUUACCUAAGGCACUGUUGGACAGGGAGGGGGCUUGGGUUUUAAAUAGAGUGACCAGAGAAGUGGUGGCCUGUGACCAAAACCUGAGAAGACAUGUCCAGACCAAAAGGACAGAAGAUGCAGAGGACCCAAGACAGAAGUGUUCAGAGAACAAGACCAGUGUCACAGGAGACAAUGAAAGAAACCCUGUGGCCCGCACAGUGAGUUUGCCUUCUGUCUGAGGGAGGACAAGUACAUCUUGUCACUGGUUUCCUCCGGAUCAGCUACAGGAUACUGGUACAAUUGUAUUGGCAGUUAGGGUCUGAGAACAGUUUCAUUUCGUUUUGUUUUUCCACCAGGAUGCUGAAG